Molecule: long non-coding RNA, 1032 nt
Organism: Gasterosteus aculeatus aculeatus (three-spined stickleback)
Lineage: Eukaryota; Metazoa; Chordata; Actinopteri; Perciformes; Gasterosteidae
Source: Ensembl
UUUUGCCUUUCAUAUUUCUAUUUUUUCUUCUUCCUCUAUGACAUUUUAGUCACAACAUAUUUUGAAAUAUAUUCAAAUUUCAAAGUAUUUUUCACAAAUCAGUUUACAAAGAUGAAGAACGGGAUGUGACACAAAAAAUGAGAGAAAAUAAAGCACAACAGAAACACCCACAGAUGUUUUUUGAAUGUUAAGUUUCCCAAUAAUAAAAAAAUGAUUAAGGAAGAGCCAGGCCACCCACACAAUAAUUGUACCAAAAGGAAAAAGGACAUUGGUAAGCAUCUAAACAAGUACAGAUUUAGGGAAUGCAUUCAUUUUUAUAAGCUGCACUGUUACGGUAGUGACAGGUAGGUUGCUCCAUCUAAGAAAAUCUUUUUUUUUCAUACUUUCAACCGAGGGGUUAAAGCUUUUCAUCCCCCAUGACAUGUUUAGGGUUACAGACAUGUUACAUACUGACAUACGUGCCAUGGGAUACUUUUAUUCAGGUUUUUUUAAAAACAUUUUUCAAUAUUCCGUUUUUGACUAUUUUCAUGACAAAGGGGAGAUUUCCAUGACAUGUAAUUGGCAUAUUGUAACUUUUGACUUUUGUUUUCUCCAUUGCAUUUUUAGACAACAUAUUUUGGAAUUUUGUUUUUGGUGUAAGUGGAAAUCAUUUUACAAAAAUGAAGAUGAAAAGGACAUGAAAAUACAGGAAACAAACAAAAAUAGAUUCCCAUUCAUUUACAUAGAGUGUCUGCUAUAGUUAAGUAGUUACAUUUAGUUAGAGUUAAUCAGACAGAGUGGAAAUAUGAAAUGAAAGGUUGCCGUUUGUGAAGUGCUCAUUACAGCCUCUGAGAGCACACAUUUAAAAGUCUAAAUAUAUUAGGUCAAAACAUGUGAGGUGGAAAUGUCAUGGGACAGAUAUUAGGUCAAUUUUUUUUUUUAAAUAAUCACAGUAUAGCAUGUUGAACAAAGCAACAGUAGAGCAUGAAACAAAGUGUAAUUGUCUGCCAGCUACGAUGCAUGUGUUGUUUCCACAUGAUUCAGUUUAGAACU